RNAcentral lists this transfer RNA (72 nucleotides) under bacterium. RNAcentral's name for it is "tRNA-Gly". It matches the Rfam family "tRNA". Rfam says of the family: Transfer RNA (tRNA) molecules are approximately 80 nucleotides in length. Their secondary structure includes four short double-helical elements and three loops (D, anti-codon, and T loops). Further hydrogen bonds mediate the characteristic L-shaped molecular structure. tRNAs have two regions of fundamental functional importance: the anti-codon, which is responsible for specific mRNA codon recognition, and the 3' end, to which the tRNAs corresponding amino acid is attached (by aminoacyl-tRNA synthetases). tRNAs cope with the degeneracy of the genetic code in two manners: having more than one tRNA (with a specific anti-codon) for a particular amino acid; and 'wobble' base-pairing, i.e. permitting non-standard base-pairing at the 3rd anti-codon position. The record is from RNAcentral.
GCGGACAUCGUAUAGUGGCUAGUAUGGCUGCCUUCCAAGCAGCAGGCGGGAGUUCGAUUCUCCCUGUCCGCA